Molecule: ribosomal RNA, 267 nt
Filed under: uncultured archaeon
Lineage: Archaea
Description: partial 16S ribosomal RNA
Rfam family: Archaeal small subunit ribosomal RNA
Source: RNAcentral
AGACGUCUACAUUAGAUACCCGUGUACGUCCCAGCCGUAAACUAUGCGCGUUAGGUGUAUCGGUGACCACGAGUCACCGAGGUGCCGAAGGGAACCGACGAAACGUGCCGCCGUGGGAAGUACGGUCGCAAGGCUAGAAACUUAAAGGAAUUGGCGGGGAGCACCACAACGGGUGGAGCCUGCGGUUUAAUUGGACUCAACGCCGGGAAGCUCACCGGAUAAGACAGCGGAAUGAUUGCCGGGCUGAAGACUCUGCAUGACUAGCUG